GCCGCGGUGGCGGAAUUGGUAGACGCGCUAGACUCAAAAUCUUGUAGGAGCAAUCCUGUGAGGGUUCAAGUCCCUCCCGCGGCACCA
RNAcentral lists this transfer RNA (87 nucleotides) under Alphaproteobacteria bacterium. RNAcentral describes it as "tRNA-Leu". It matches the Rfam family "tRNA". Rfam says of the family: Transfer RNA (tRNA) molecules are approximately 80 nucleotides in length. The record is from RNAcentral. Lineage: Bacteria; Pseudomonadati; Pseudomonadota; Alphaproteobacteria.